Molecule: unclassified non-coding RNA, 1811 nt
Filed under: Hevea brasiliensis (rubber tree)
Lineage: Eukaryota; Viridiplantae; Streptophyta; Magnoliopsida; Malpighiales; Euphorbiaceae
Source: RNAcentral
AAAAAUUUGGAUAUAAAUGAAAAUGAUUGUAAAAGUAUUACAGUGGUGCCUUCAGAUAAUACUAAAAACAUGAUUUUUAAAUCAUAAGGAUUAACAACUUUAAGAAUAACAUAUACCAUUUAAAAUAAAUUAGAUAUUAGAUUGUUGGGAAGGGUAGUCUUGAAUCCCGAGAGGAUUAAUUUUCUGUGGACUGUAAAAGAGAUAUGGAGAGACACUCUAGUAAAUUCAUAAACAAAAAUAAAUUAGAUAUCUUUAUAGGAGAGAGAGAGAACACCUUUCUAGCUUGUCUCUUACUUGCAUAUAAAUGUAGAAAGACAUAUGUCUAGCAUGGCUUGGUUCAGUGGCUAAUGGUAUAUCGCUCACUUGAUAAGUACCAAGUUCAAGUUCCCACUCAUUCAAUCCUCAGUCCUAUACAUAAAAAAGAGUAGAUAGGCAUAUAGAUAUGUCAUUGGCAACACUUUUUUCCCCAACUGAAAUUCAUGAUAAUAAAGUUUCUGUAAGUUCACAUCUUAUAAGUUAUAUCUGCCAGCAAAAGGCAAAUUGAUAGAGCCUAUCCAUAAUUUGCCAUCUUUUUCCAUUCCUUCACUUAUGGACUUGAAUCCAUUUUUAUCUUCAAACACUUCCAAUAUGUCACCAUUUUCGCUCAACCUAAUAGCCAUGCCACUCCCUCUAUACUCACCCAAAAUUGAAUACGCUUUCAUCAAAUCAAAAGGAAGCCUAAUCAAAGCAUUGCCUAUCCAUGUAUGUGAAAGGAUCCAUUCCAAGAGCUUUUCUCUUUUUGAAUGCAAACCAACCCAAUAUCCUCCUCUAGGACUCCUCUUUAUGUUGUCUGGGAACCCUGGCAGUUGUGCAAAGACUUCAAGAGUUCCAAUUUUACAUGUUUUUAUCCAAUAUCUUAGGAUUCUGCAUGUGGUGGUCUCUGCAAGUAAAAUGAAGUUUCCAUCUUUGCUUAAUGCCACUCCAUUUGGAAAUGAAAGGUUCUCAACAAGUACUUUAACUUGUCUGUCUUCUGGGUCAUAUCUCAUUAGCCUUCCUGAUUUAUCACCACUUAAUAUCACAUAUAUAUAAUCCCUCCUCUGGUACACUGAACUGCUAUCGGUAAAAUAUACGGUUCCACUUGAUUGGUCAAUGUCGAGGCCAUUAGUGAACCUAAAAGGUAACCCAUCGGCAAGUGUCGCAAUUGUUGUGGCCAACCCACCUUCAGGGCCCACCAUUAAUAGCCCCAUGUAAGCAUCGGCAAUGUACAGAUCACCGCUUGAUUCGUCGACACACAAACCUAAUGGGCGCCCACAAAUAGGCUCCACCUGAUAGUGAUCGUAUGAUCGCUCGCAGCCGGUUCUGUGAAGAGAAGUAACAGCAAAAUCAAUCCACUGUCGUCGAUGUUCCUCCCAUUUGAUGAUCCGGCCAUCGGCGAUGCUGGCGUAGGGUCCCUGGCCAUGCUUGCCGAACGCAAAACUUUCAGGUCCGGUUGCAGAACUUCCUAGAUGAAGAAGCUCCCGCUGCUGAUUAAGCUUGUCAAUAUUAUCACCAGAAAAACUUUGUAUAUAAGAUGGUUUAUCCGAGAACUUGGUACGAUUGAUGGCGAUUAUGGCAGAUAUUAUGAGUACCAUUGUUGCUGCGAAAAAUAAUGGGUUUGAGGUGAUCGCCAUGAGAGGGAUAAAUUAUUUCAAAAAAAGGACUAAAAGGAAGAAGAAAGAAAGAAGAAAUAAUGUUUGGUGUGAAAUGAAAUUGAAGCAGAUACAACAGAAAGCAAUGUUUGGUGCAAAAUGAAAAUGAAGAAUAUACAAAAGAGAUGCGUGUCGUUUUAUACA